GCAUCGAGGUAAGGCUAUGGAAGUAGGAAGUGUCUUGUGGCAUAAAGUGGAUGUUAUCUCUGGAAAAGAUGGUUUCUGUGUUUUGAAAAAGAAAAGCAACAAGGUGUGGAAGCUGAAGUAUUCCCUCUAACAAGGUGAAUGAGGCGUCAACCUAAUGGCGGUAAACGAGCGUUGCUUGAGAGGCAACCCAAGGGAGGUAUUCAUAUUUCUUAUAGUCUUUAAUUUUAUAUUGAUUUUUU
RNAcentral lists this long non-coding RNA (239 nucleotides) under Lathyrus oleraceus (garden pea). RNAcentral's name for it is "Pisum sativum (pea) long non-coding RNA (PSAT_LNC013535)". Lineage: Eukaryota; Viridiplantae; Streptophyta; Magnoliopsida; Fabales; Fabaceae. The record is from RNAcentral.